AGAGUUUGAUCAUGGCUCAGAACGAACGCUAGCGGGAUGCCUCAAACAUGCAAGUCGUACGAGAAAGUUCCCUUCGGGGAGCGAGUACAGUGGCGCACGGGUGCGUAACACGUAGCUAACGUACCCCUUCGCUGGGGAUAACUCCGGGAAACCGGAGCUAAUACCGAAUAGUCUGAUACGGUCUGCGGGCUGUAUCGGUAAAGCCUUUGGGCGCGAAGGGAUCGGGCUGCGGUCCAUUAGCUUGAUGGUGGGGUAACGGCCUACCAUGGCGACGAUGGAUAGCUGGUCUGAGAGGAUGAUCAGCCACACUGGAACUGAAACACGGUCCAGACUCCCACGGGAGGCAGCAGUUGGGAAUAUUGGACAAUGGGCGGAAGCCUGAUCCAGCAAUCCCGCGUGAGUGAUGAAGGCCCUCGGGUCGUAAAGCUCUUUCAGCAGGGAAGAAGAUCUGACGGUACCUGCAGAAGAAGCACCGGCUAACUCCGUGCCAGCAGCCGCGGUAAUACGGAGGGUGCGAGCGUUGUUCGGAAUCAUUGGGCGUAAAGCGCGUGUAGGCGGCUUGGUAAGUCUGGUGUGAAAGCCCGGGGCUUAACCCCGGAAGUGCAUUGGAUACUGCCUGGCUAGAGGACGAGAGAGGAAAGCGGAAUUCCUGGUGUAGGGGUGAAAUCCAGAUAUCAGGAGGAACAUCAGAGGCGAAGGCGGCUUUCUGGCUCGUUACUGACGCUGAGNNGCGAAAGCGUGGGGAGCAAACAGGAUUAGAUACCCUAGUAGUCC
RNAcentral lists this ribosomal RNA (774 nucleotides) under uncultured bacterium. Its description in RNAcentral is "bacterial SSU rRNA". It matches the Rfam family "Bacterial small subunit ribosomal RNA", at positions 8 to 796 of the family's 1533-position model. The record is from RNAcentral.